RNAcentral lists this long non-coding RNA (362 nucleotides) under Homo sapiens (human). RNAcentral describes it as "HSALNT0024988". The record is from RNAcentral. Lineage: Eukaryota; Metazoa; Chordata; Mammalia; Primates; Hominidae.
UCAUACCAUGUGUGCCACAGCAGUCUCACCUUUCUGCAUGAGUAUGGGAUGCUCAGCCUCCUCUGAGGAUUGGAGACCAGGGAAAGGAAGAUGUGGUUAUUUGAAAGCGCUGCUGGGCCAAUUCUCAGGUUGGACAAGAAAAAAAUGACCUGAAUUAGUUGAGGAUUGGAAUCAAUCUUUAAAUAUGGUUCCUGUCACUGGAUGGUCGACACUUAAGAUGAACACUUACUAAGAAAUAAAUGUUUAUAGAGAAUCAUUCCAUACUAAAAUAAUGAAUAAGAAGCUGCGAGGAAGUCGUGUUUUGUAACAAGAAUUCUGGACUUUGAAUUCCACUGUGAAAUUUCAGGAAAAAGUAAAAUUGC